CAAUAGCGUAUAUUAAAGUUGUUGCGGUUAAAAAAGCUCGUAGUUGGACUUCGCCGGAAGGAAGACGGUCCCCCCUAGUGGGGUGUAUCUGUUGAUCCCUCUGGCUCCGGGUGUUUAAGGUGCGUCGCUUCAUUGCGAUGUCCGUAGGCACCCCUUUUACUUUGAGGAAAUUAGAGUGUUCACGGCAGGCAAUCGCCCUGAAUACGUUAGCAUGGAAUAAUAAUAUAAGGCUUCGGCCCUAUUAUGGUUUCUAGAGCUGAAGUAAUGAUUAAUAGGGAUAGUUGGGGGCAUUCGUAUUAUCACGUCAGAGGUGGAAUUCUUAGAUUGUGUUACGACGAACUACUGCGAAAGCAUUUGCCAAGGAUGUUUUCAUUGAUCAAGAACGAAAGUUAGGGGAUCGAAGACGAUCAGAUACCAU
This 418-nucleotide ribosomal RNA is filed under the name uncultured eukaryote. RNAcentral's name for it is "bacterial SSU rRNA". It matches the Rfam family "Eukaryotic small subunit ribosomal RNA", at positions 592 to 1018 of the family's 1831-position model. The record is from RNAcentral.